This 460-nucleotide ribosomal RNA is filed under the name uncultured bacterium. RNAcentral's name for it is "partial 16S ribosomal RNA". It matches the Rfam family "Bacterial small subunit ribosomal RNA", at positions 338 to 795 of the family's 1533-position model. The record is from RNAcentral.
CCUACGGGAUGCAGCAGUGAGGAAUAUUGGUCAAUGGACGAGCGUCUGAACCAGCCAAGUAGCGUGAAGGAUGACUGCCCUAUGGGUUGUAAACUUCUUUUAUAUGGGAAUAAAAUGUUCCACGUGUGGGAUUUUGUAUGUACCAUAUGAAUAAGGAUCGGCUAACUCCGUGCCAGCAGCCGCGGUAAUACGGAGGAUCCGAGCGUUAUCCGGAUUUAUUGGGUUUAAAGGGAGCGUAGGUGGAUUGUUAAGUCAGUUGUGAAAGUUUGCGGCUCAACCGUAAAAUUGCAGUUGAAACUGGCAGUCUUGAGUACAGUAGAGGUGGGCGGAAUUCGUGGUGUAGCGGUGAAAUGCUUAGAUAUCACGAAGAACUCCGAUUGCGAAGGCAGUUCACUGGACUGCAACUGACACUGAGGCUCGAAAGUGUGGGUAUCAAACAGGAUUAGAUACCCCGGUAGUC